Transfer RNA from Plasmodium falciparum RAJ116, 73 nucleotides. It matches the Rfam family "tRNA". From Rfam's summary of the family: Transfer RNA (tRNA) molecules are approximately 80 nucleotides in length. Their secondary structure includes four short double-helical elements and three loops (D, anti-codon, and T loops). NCBI's taxonomy places the organism in Eukaryota, Apicomplexa, Aconoidasida, Haemosporida, Plasmodiidae. The record is from Rfam.
GCUAAAGUAGCUUAAUUGGUAAAGCAACUGAUUUGUAAUCAGUAGAUUAUGAGUUCAAAUCUCACCAUUAGCU